This 75-nucleotide transfer RNA is filed under the name Herbiconiux daphne. RNAcentral's name for it is "tRNA-Asp". It matches the Rfam family "tRNA". Rfam says of the family: Transfer RNA (tRNA) molecules are approximately 80 nucleotides in length. Their secondary structure includes four short double-helical elements and three loops (D, anti-codon, and T loops). Further hydrogen bonds mediate the characteristic L-shaped molecular structure. tRNAs have two regions of fundamental functional importance: the anti-codon, which is responsible for specific mRNA codon recognition, and the 3' end, to which the tRNAs corresponding amino acid is attached (by aminoacyl-tRNA synthetases). tRNAs cope with the degeneracy of the genetic code in two manners: having more than one tRNA (with a specific anti-codon) for a particular amino acid; and 'wobble' base-pairing, i.e. permitting non-standard base-pairing at the 3rd anti-codon position. Lineage: Bacteria; Bacillati; Actinomycetota; Actinomycetes; Micrococcales; Microbacteriaceae. The record is from RNAcentral.
GGUACUAUAGUUCAUCGGUUAGAAUGCUGCCCUGUCACGGCAGUGAGCCGGGUUCGAUUCCCGGUAGUACCGCCA